CUUCCUGCUAGUUGAUUGACAAACCAGACUGACGUUGUAAUCUUCCGCAACGAAAGCUGCCGACCUCGGAUUUACAGACGGGGCUGUGAAACACACCAGCAGCCCGGUUGAUGCUGUCCCACCGGCCGAUAGAUCCAGGAGCUCCCGGCUCCGUCUUUGAUGGUGGACCUGGUUCUGGCUCCUCUUCCUGGUCGGAGCCCAUUGGCGGGCUGGGAGUGGAGCCUCACCUGACCUGUAGUUCCUGCUCUUCAGUGUCGUCCUCUCUGAGCACCACAGCUGGAAUGCUGAAACUAUAGACCCACUCUAACAGCUGCCUUCUCAGCCAUGACCUUCUGGGUCUCCUUACUGAGGGCAUCACUGAUCAUCUUCUGGACAACUUUCAGGUCAGCCGCCUCCACUAUGACUGUAGUUCCAUGUAAUGAAUUAAAUCAAGAGACACAGUGUAUUUAUACUGCUUGAAUAGUCCAUCUAUCCAUCCAUCAUCUAUACACCUCUUAAUUAGGGUCAUGGAGGGCUGGAGUCUAUCCCAGCUGACUGAGGGUGAAGACAGGAGACACCUGGACAGGUAACAGUCCGAAACAUCAAGUAAUGUAAAAUUUAAUCACCUCUAAAUAACUGCUUUAUUUCUAAGUGUCAAAAACAAAUAUUUCAGAAAAAAAGUGUAUUGGAAAUGCAAGUCUCAAAGAAGUUAGAAAACCUGUGAUCACUGAAACACGCAUUGAGAGCACCUGUGACUUCCAAUCAGCCUCAUUUCAUGAACAUGGUUGUAAAAUAACUUGUGAACAGCAGAACUUUCUCAGGCCAGCUGCACGUCCGCAUCGUGGCUCCACACUGAAAAGAAUCGCCAGAUGAAUCAUCGUAAAGAUGGAAAAGGAUACAGGAAUAUCAGGGAGCAACUAAGAACUGGUGGAAAUAUAGCUGCAGCUGUAAGCACAAGGUAGAGUAUGAGCCAUGUCCCCACCAAUCAGAACCACAGAUGAAAAACAGACGGACCAGGGCUUCAGACAGGGGUUCAUGAUGAAAAUCUGACGUUCUGUGACAGCUCAGACGUUUUGAAGGACAGUGCAUCAAAUCAGCUGCUAUGGACAGAGGAAAAGAAAAAAAAAGCUCUCUUCAACACAAACUUACAUGAUGAAAUUACUUCAGCUAUAGGACAAUAAAAGAACCCUGAUGGAUACUGGGAGCACGUUGUUCAGCAUGUUCAGUGUGAACAAGACUACCACAGUGAAUACAUAGAUCUGAGAGUGAAGAAGUGUGAUGAUGUCAGAUUGCAUGAGUGAAGAAAGUGUCAGGGAAAUGGCAUGAAUAAAUGCCCCAGGAUGCAUUCAAAUACUGCCAAGAUCACUCCAAAACCGCAGAGGAGGAAUAUUCCAUGAUGUAAAGGAUCCAACGCCUUAAUAAAAAUGAAAACUAUGGCCUGGCCGAGUCACUUCACUGGAACACAGAACUAAACUCACGAAUCCCAGACAGUAGUGCAACCCUGGUAUUUGUUACACGGAGUUCCUGCUGUGGAGCCUACAUUUUUAACAUGGUAGAUCUAAACUGUUGGUAUUUUAUUUGACACAUUGUAAUGCAGUCAUUGGAUCCUGAUCAGUCAUAAUUAAUUAUUUCUGUAAUAAAUACGACAUAAUGAACCUG
Molecule: long non-coding RNA, 1638 nt
Organism: Acanthochromis polyacanthus (spiny chromis)
Lineage: Eukaryota; Metazoa; Chordata; Actinopteri; Pomacentridae
Exons: 2
Source: RefSeq, a predicted model, not a curated record